GAAUUUCGUUAUUCAAAAGACAAACGUGAGGAUGCUUUGCCUAAAUUUGUACAUGCACUUGACCAAUCACAUGCAUUUCUCACUCUUCUCUUUCUUAUCCCGACCGCACAUGCAUGUUCCCCUUUCACAUCUCUCCUCUCAACCGGAUACUAAAUCAUAAUAUCACGCCACAAGCAUGAUUUCCACCUUUUUUCUCCUCCCAACCAAUAUUGUUUGUUUAGCAUUGCAUGACUUCCUCCCACAUCAUCUCCACAUAUCACGUCC
This 264-nucleotide long non-coding RNA is filed under the name Hordeum vulgare. RNAcentral describes it as "long non-coding RNA (HVUL_LNC010681)". The record is from RNAcentral. Lineage: Eukaryota; Viridiplantae; Streptophyta; Magnoliopsida; Poales; Poaceae.